This 1033-nucleotide small RNA is filed under the name Pan troglodytes (chimpanzee). RNAcentral's name for it is "processed transcript". The record is from RNAcentral. Lineage: Eukaryota; Metazoa; Chordata; Mammalia; Primates; Hominidae.
CCCUGCCCACCGCUCCCGGCAGGGCUUUUGGUGGCCAUGGGGGAUAACGCGCGUUGACUCACCCGGGCGGGGCUCCGGGAGUUGCACAGACCAAGGCAAAUGCCGUGGCCUCUGCUGUGGGGGUUUCUGGAGGACUUCUAGGAAAAUGAGGGAAGAGCAGGAAAAGGCGACAUGGCUGCAGGGGCCAGUCCCAGGAGCCGCCCUCCACAGCACUCAUUCUGCAGAAGGGAAAUUUGAGGCCCCCAGAUGGCAGGGGUUGAUCCUGCAGAGACUGGCCCUGUGCCUCCCUCUACAGCCCUCAGGGAGCUCAUUGAGGAGCUGGUCAACAUCACCCAGAACCAGAAGGCUCCGCUCUGCAAUGGCAGCAUGGUAUGGAGCAUCAACCUGACAGCUGGCGUGUACUGUGCAGCCCUGGAAUCCCUGAUCAACGUGUCAGGCUGCAGUGCCAUCGAGAAGACCCAGAGGAUGCUGAGCGGAUUCUGCCCGCACAAGGUCUCAGCUGGGCAGUUUUCCAGCUUGCAUGUCCGAGACACCAAAAUCGAGGUGGCCCAGUUUGUAAAGGACCUGCUCUUACAUUUAAAGAAACUUUUUCGCGAGGGACGGUUCAACUGAAACUUCGAAAGCAUCAUUAUUUGCAGAGACAGGACCUGACUAUUGAAGUUGCAGAUUCAUUUUUCUUUCUGAUGUCAAAAAUGUCUUGGGUAGGCGGGAAGGAGGGUUAGGGAGGGGUAAAAUUCCUUAGCUUAGACCUCAGCCUGUGCUGCCUGUCUUCAGCCUAGCCGACCCCAGCCUUCCCCUUGCCCAGGGCUCAGCCUGGUGGGCCUCCUCUGUCCAGGGCCCUGAGCUCGGUGGACCCAGGGAUGACAUGUCCCUACACCCCUCCCCUGCCCUAGAGCACACUGUAGCAUUACAGUGGGUGCCCCCCUUGCCAGACAUGUGGUGGGAGAGGGACCCACUUCACACACAGGCAACUGAGGCAGACAGCAGCUCAGGCACACUUCUUCUUGGCCUUAUUUAUUAUUGUGUGUUAUUU